GCUGUAAGCGGGGCGCGGGUCUCAUCUACUUCGAAGCCGACGACCAAGUUCUCCUAAAGCGGGUGUCGGCAGUUCGAAUCUGCCCGGGAGCACCA
RNAcentral lists this transfer RNA (95 nucleotides) under Dermacoccus nishinomiyaensis. RNAcentral's name for it is "tRNA-Ser". RNAcentral also lists the same sequence under 1 other name. Lineage: Bacteria; Bacillati; Actinomycetota; Actinomycetes; Micrococcales; Dermacoccaceae. The record is from RNAcentral.